UACGGAGGAUCCAAGCGUUAUCCGGAUUUAUUGGGCGUAAAGGGCUCGUAGGCGGCCAACUAAGUCAGACGUGAAAUCCCCAGGCUCAACCUGGGAACUGCGUCUGAUACUGGAUGGCUUGAAUCCGGGAGAGGGAUGCAGAAUUCCAGGUGUAGCGGUGAAAUGCGUAGAUAUCGGAAGGAACACCAGUGGCGAAAGCGGCUUCCUGGUCCGACACCGACGUUCAGGCACGAAAGCGUGGGGAGCGAACAGG
Molecule: ribosomal RNA, 253 nt
Filed under: uncultured bacterium
Lineage: Bacteria
Description: partial 16S ribosomal RNA
Rfam family: Bacterial small subunit ribosomal RNA
Source: RNAcentral